GAGCAGGUUGUUCCCAGCCCUCCCCAGCCGCGCUCGGGCAGCGAGUUUCCAAUUUGCAGCUCAUCUCAAGGUCGCGGCAGAAGGCGCAGAGGGCCUGGUAGGACAUGGUGGCAGCAGAAUUGGAACCGUCGCUGGCAGUGAAUGCAGAAUGAGGAAGGGCCAAGGAGGGGAAAUUUUCCAUUCAGGGCUGGCCUCGGAGAGCUCAUGAAUACAUAAAGAGCCUGGCUUCAGCCGCAUCUGCUGCAGCUGCAGGAGCCUCGCAGGACUUAAUUCCUCAUCCUCUUCACUAGGGCAGCAAACCCAGCUGGGGCCAGCCUUAAAGGGACAGGGAGGCGCUCAAAAAACGGAGUCCAGCCUUGGCUUGGAGGUUAAGAAAAGCCCUUCCUCACCCGUGCAGGAUGCAGCUGAUGCCCACAACAGCAGUAGCUGAGCCUUGCCUGAAGCUAAAACCUUGCAGCCAGGAAUUAGAGCUGCAUGAACAUCCCUGCUCUGCAGGCAAGGAACUGCUGCCAGCACCCUGCCAGCAUUACCUGCUUUGCUUCCCCUUCUGAAGGUUUAUCUUUCUUAAUUACAAUUAAUUGCCUUUCAGUUUAAAUAAUACUACUAAUAAAAAUUAAA
Molecule: long non-coding RNA, 618 nt
Organism: Pogoniulus pusillus (Red-fronted tinkerbird)
Lineage: Eukaryota; Metazoa; Chordata; Aves; Piciformes; Lybiidae
Exons: 3
Source: RefSeq, a predicted model, not a curated record